Molecule: long non-coding RNA, 1052 nt
Organism: Salvia splendens (bonfire salvia)
Lineage: Eukaryota; Viridiplantae; Streptophyta; Magnoliopsida; Lamiales; Lamiaceae
Exons: 2
Source: RefSeq, a predicted model, not a curated record
GGCGUAUGAACGUAGAAAUUUCCGUUGUAAUUUCCAUCGUGGAAUAAAGCAAGUUUUUGUGAAGAAAGCAAAGUACAAGAAAUGUUCAAGAAUAAAAAGUAGGGAGUUAUGUUUAUUAAAAGAGCAAGUGGAAAUACAAUUUAUUGGAUUAUAGAAAUGCUAAUAGUACAUGCCAUGAAAGGGACAAUACACUCUUGGUUUUUUCUAAAUAAAUAUAGGAAACAAAAGCUUCAAGAGGAGUCUUCUUUCUCUCUUUCCCUCUCGAUUCUUGCUCCACAAAACACCAAGAAAAGACAACUUGCACCUACAAGUGAAACAUCAAAAUAGGUAUGAGAAUUUUGGAUUCACAAGACUCAAAAGUGGAGGACUUAUUCAAUAUAGCAAGCAUGAAAUCCUUGUGACACAUCACCAAGCUUGCAAAAAGAAUGAGAACAAGUUGAGCAAAGGAUAAGCUCAUCACCAAGGACCUUUUAAAGGCAACCAUAGAUUUCCACACCCUCCAAACCGAGACUAGGAGGCAGCCAAGAGGGGGGCAGCCCCAAGGCUUGCAUCAAAUAGGAAAGAUUCCCAUAAUCAAUAAGUUCAAAAGGGAGCAAGCUGGCAGCCAAAAAUAGGAGCCUUUGUCCCCAAGUUUCAGGCACAAAAUGCCAAUUCCUUGAGCUAUAUAAGAGGCCACAGCCUUCGCCCCUCCCCACUCUUCGAACACCAAGAUUCACAACAUCAUAAGGAGAAAGCAGCAAGGAGUGAGGAAUGAGGCGAGGCGCCGGCAGCAAGAGAGACCGCAAGGAUUUUCAGCCGAGAGGUUGAACGUCAAGUUGAAGGAGGAAUUGAUCGGAGUCGAUGCUAUUAAAUAAGCUUGUGGAUUUCUCGGCGAUUCGUGUCUUCAUACACGAAGUCGUUUAGUAGGGACCUCUUUCCGCUGCUUUUAUUUCGUUAAGUGAGAAGCUUAUUGUCUCACCUUCGAACUCUGAUUUGGUUGUUGUGGUGAAUGAUUCUAUUUGAGAACAUGUAACCAAAUAUUCGGUUCCUUGUUUGCAGUGUUUAUUUGACUA